Molecule: RNA transcript, 1991 nt
Organism: Oxyura jamaicensis (ruddy duck)
Lineage: Eukaryota; Metazoa; Chordata; Aves; Anseriformes; Anatidae
Exons: 4
Source: RefSeq, a predicted model, not a curated record
CAACAGUGGAGGAAUUGGCUCCAGGAAGGAACAGCAUUGGCUGGAAUGCCUUGACUGGAAACUCUGCUUGUCAACGGUACCUGGAGCAGGGUUUGUUGAUAAAAACCCUUCCUUGGAUCCCUCCCCAGCAUGAGCCUAAUGAAAGAGCCAUUUGUUUGCAUGGUUGUUGCCUUCCCUAUGGACAGGUGCCAUUUUCAGUGAAACCAUCUCAAACAGCACGUGCGACUCACGGAAGUCACACAGCACCAGGGUAGAGAACAGACCUGUGGGCUGGUGAAUCCUUAGCAUCAGGAAACGUUUGCAGCUGCUCGUGAAAGCCCCUGAGGAGCUCUGGAGCCUGUGCUUCCCUUCCUCCUGACACGUGCAGUUUGUGCAGAGAUGGCAAAAUUCCUGGUGUCAGUCACAGGUUUGGUGGAAGACAUCCUAUCAGAAACAUCUCUGCGUCAUCCGGUUGGCCAAGACACCUGCAGGUUAGUUUCCAAUUCAGUAAUGCGUGACCUCCUGAUUAAAGCAUUUACAUAGUUUGUAACUAAAAAACAGUCCUAAAGGAUCAGACCUCAAACCUGCUGAAAUGUACCUAAAUCUUUAAUUGUUUGCAGUAAACUCUGGAUCGAGUCUUGAAACUGUUAAUUAGGAAUCCUCUAAAGUGAUGGUGUAAGCGCUGUGCUGGUAAAGUGCAGGUUGCACAGCAGUGAUGGGGUGGUAAAUCCCAAGGAGAAGUUAGGUUACCGUGAUCUGCAGUGCUUAGUGAAAUGGAUUCAAGCCAGCAAAAUUGUCUUAAUCCAGGCAAUUGCUUUUGUGUAAUCCUGUAAUUGGGUUAAGCUUGUAGCCCGGGACACUCUGCAAAAGGUUCAUCCUGUUCAACCUGGGGACUUCACUGUGGUAUGCAAGGUGGAGUGUCAUCGCCCUCAACAGUGGGCAGAAAUAGGGACGGCCAGAGGGUGACCCAGGUCUUGGUGGUCUCGCUGCCUCGGUGAGUGCUUUUUCUCUCUCUGGAUGAAGAGAGCUGAGGGAAGUGCCUGCUGUUUGGUGGGGACAAUCUGGAUCUGCAACCUGGAGGGAUGGAAGCUGGAAAGAAUCUGGGAAGUACUGCAGACAUUGCUGUUGGUAGGACCCCCAGUGAAUGGUGUGUACUGUGACUACAAGGGACAAGGUUCCCUUGGAGACUGGUUAGGGGAGUUAUUUUAAGGUGACGUCUGAUAGGUUUGUGGAAGGAAUUGUAUGACAAAUCAGCAAUUCCUAGGACCUGAAAAAGCUUUGAUAUGAGUCCUUGCAUAGCUAAUCUGUUGAUAUCCCCAAUGGGGAUGAACGAGAUCAGAUCACUCUUUAUUUAUAGCAUAUUUAUACAAAUUCAGUGUUCCGAGGCUGCUUCCAUUCACCUUUGAGAUCAGGAAGGAACGUUUUUCUUCCUUGAUGCAUAAUUUGGUUUCUGGUGGGCUGGGGGAGCUCUUCCAGGACUCAGCAGCCCUGAAGCCUGCAGCAUGGGAGGAGGUAAGCAGCUCCCUUCUGCUGGCAUCUCAUUCUCUCCAGUGCCUGAUCGUUGCACUCAGUCUCCAGACCUGAGGUCAAGAGGGGAUUUUCCCUCCAGGUUCAUUGGGGCCAGCGCACCAGGACUUGUCUGGACCAAGCUUCUACCAAGUGUUGGGAUCGGCCUGUUUGGGGCAAGACUCUGUUGGGCUGACAACCAUGAGAUUUGGUGUUUUCAGUGUGACUGGAGUUUGUGCAGUGUGGAGGCUACUGAGGAUUUCUGCUUUUGCUGCCUCCCCCGUGUCAGACAGGCAGUCUGGCCCCAUGACAAGCCGAAGGUGCCCUGCUACCAAUUCAACAUCUCAGUUCCUGAGUCAGUGCAAACCCUCGAGCCCACUGAAGGAAGCAACCAAGCCGCAGGGAUGUCAACAGGACCAGGUUGCUGUUCACGGCCUCUUUCUGUGGUGGGACACAUCACCACCCCUCUGGGAGAAGAAAGAAACCAAGGCAGUGUCAAAAGAAAA